GACGAACGCUGGCGGCGUGCUUAACACAUGCAAGUCGAACGGAAAGGCCCUGCUUUUGUGGGGUGCUCGAGUGGCGAACGGGUGGGUAACACGUGAGUAACCUGCCCUUGACUUUGGGAUAACUUCAGGAAACUGGGGCUAAUACCGGAUAGGAGCUCCUGCUGCAUGGUGGGGGUUGGAAAGUUUCGGCGGUUGGGGAUGGACUCGCGGCUUAUCAGCUUGUUGGUGGGGUAGUGGCUUACCAAGGCUUUGACGGGUAGCCGGCCUGAGAGGGUGACCGGCCACAUUGGGACUGAGAUACGGCCCAGACUCCUACGGGAGGCAGCAGUGGGGAAUAUUGCACAAUGGGCGGAAGCCUGAUGCAGCAACGCCGCGUGCGGGAUGACGGCCUUCGGGUUGUAAACCGCUUUCGCCUGUGACGAAGCGUGAGUGACGGUAAUGGGUAAAGAAGCACCGGCUAACCACGUG
RNAcentral lists this ribosomal RNA (468 nucleotides) under uncultured bacterium. RNAcentral's name for it is "partial 16S ribosomal RNA". It matches the Rfam family "Bacterial small subunit ribosomal RNA", at positions 28 to 507 of the family's 1533-position model. The record is from RNAcentral.